CAAAAACAUAGCUUUUUGGUGAAAGUAAAAAGUAGGGUCUGCCCAGUGAGUAAUUUUAACGGCCGCAAUAUUUGUGCGAAGGUAGCAUAAUCAUUUGUCUUUUAAUUGAUGACUGGAAUGAAUGGCUGGACGGGGAUAAGCUGUCUUAUGUAUAUAUAUUUGAAAUUUACUUUUAAGUAAAAAGGCUUAAAUAUUUUAGAGGGACGAGAAGACCCUAUUGAGUUUAAUAGAAUUUAUUUAAAUUUUUCUUAAAUUUUUAUGUAAUCUAUUUAGUUGGGGAGAUUUGAUAUUAUUAACUAUAUAAGAAUUAAUAGACUUUAAGUUUUUAGGAUCCAUAUUUUAUGAGUGUUAAGGUAAAUUACCUUAGGGAUAACAGCGUAAUAUUUUUUUAGAGUUCAAAUCGAUUAAAAUGAUUACGACCUCGAUGUUGGAUUAAGGAACCUAAUUUGGAGAAAAUUUUAAUUUAGGUAGUCUGUUCGACUAUUAAAUCUUUAC
This 495-nucleotide ribosomal RNA is filed under the name Nymphon australe. RNAcentral's name for it is "partial 16S ribosomal RNA". It matches the Rfam family "Bacterial large subunit ribosomal RNA", at positions 1808 to 2599 of the family's 2925-position model. The record is from RNAcentral. Lineage: Eukaryota; Metazoa; Arthropoda; Pycnogonida; Pantopoda; Nymphonidae.